AAAAAAAAAAAAAAAAAAAAAAAGAAAAAGGCGCCUCUCAAUCGAAUUCGAUCACACCUCAGUCGCGCCAAUCACCUCGCCUCACAAUCAACAUUGCCGUCCGCCGUCCUCGCCUUUCCAUCAUCAACGCCGCCGUCUGUCUUCCCCAUUUCUGAUUCGUCUUCGCCUGGCACCGUCAUCUAGGUCCUCACCAUUGCAAUUUUUCAGAGCAUCUUGAACUCUCCCUAAAAACAAUUUGAGUCUGUUGAGUUAGUCUGUUGGGCAUCUUGGAGUUUGCCGAGGGAUGCCCUCUUGGCAAGUCUGGCUUACAGUGGCUCAAGAUACAUAUGGCGAAUUUGUAUGCUAGUGGUGUGGGCAAGUUUUCCUACGAGGGUCGAAUUGCAUUUAUUGAGAAUCAUUUAGAUGAUAUCUUUGAUUCAGCAGACAGACCUCUUGAAAGAAGGCGCUGGUGGUUGGUUGCAGAGGAUCCAUGUCAAUGCUUGGCAACAUGUAUUAAUCUUGCUGAAGCAUUGAGAAGCUCCUCUCCAAAGACUACUAUUUCAUGCAUGCCUGUCCACAAGGUACUGUAGUCUAACCAUAAAAAAAAAAAAAA
Molecule: non-coding RNA, 592 nt
Organism: Camellia sinensis
Lineage: Eukaryota; Viridiplantae; Streptophyta; Magnoliopsida; Ericales; Theaceae
Source: RefSeq, a predicted model, not a curated record